AGUUAGUGUAAGAUCGACUCUGUCGAAUAAAAUUCUAGAUAGAAUUAUGAUAAUGACAUUAUCUAUCUAUGUGUCUUGACCAAAUUACGUGCCAGCAGUCGCGGUAAUACGUAAAAGACUAGUGUUAUUCAUCUUUAAUAGGUUUAAAGGGUACUUAGACGGUAAAUAAAGCCCGAAUAGGGAACUAAUAUACUAGAGUUUGAUGUAAGGAAGCAUGAAAGUACUGUUGGUGUAGAGAUAAAAUUCUAUCAUACCUAAUAUGGCACAGGUUUAGGCGAAAGCAUCUUCUUAUGUAAUAACUGACGUUGAAGGACGAAGGCUUUGUGUCUCGAACAGGAUUAGAUACCCCAGUAGUCUAAGCAGACAAUGAUGAAUGUCAUAGAUUAGAUUUAAUUAAAUUUAUUCUAUAAAUGAAAGUGUAAGCAUUCCACCUCAAGAGUAAUUUGGCAACAUUGGAACUGAAAUCAUUAGACCGUUUCUGAAACCAGUAGUGAAGUAUGUUGUUUAAUUAGAAGAUACGCAAAAAACCUUACCACAAUUUGAAUUAGUAAUAUGUUUUCACAAGCGUUGCACGGCUGUCUACAGUUAAUGUCGUGAGAUUUUGGUUAGUUCCAUUAAAUUAACGCAAACCCUUACUUUAUUUUUAAUAUAAAGUA
Molecule: ribosomal RNA, 656 nt
Filed under: Lecidea cancriformis
Lineage: Eukaryota; Fungi; Ascomycota; Lecanoromycetes; Lecideales; Lecideaceae
Description: SSU rRNA
Rfam family: Bacterial small subunit ribosomal RNA
Source: RNAcentral